AUAGAACAAAAGUAACUGCUAGUUUGUAUUAGGACACCUACUACUAUAGGCUUCUGAUAUAGAUAUUACAUGAUCAUGUUGAAAAUCGCUUUGAUUUUCCUUUUGUCCUGCGUUUAUUGUCGAGCCGGGAAGCCAGGAUGCUUAAAAAACCACCUGAUAAAAGAGAUUGAGAGAAACUUGAAGGAUCUACAAUCAAUGCAUGUUCACAACGGUGAAAACCUAGGCGAAACGUACAUUAGAUGGGGGAAAACAACAUGUCCAGAUGAGUCUUAUCAUGUUUAUGAUGGAUAUGCUGCUGGAAAACACCACAACAUUGGUGGGUCUGGUUCAAAUCUUCUAUGUUUACCAAAGAAUCCAGAAUGGAAAGAUUAUAAAGACGGGGAAAACACGUGGACAGGUAAACUAUAUGGUAUCGAAUAUGAAAUCGUUCAGAACAAGCCAUAUCCAAAGACUUUUCACGAUAAAGAUAUGCCCUGUGCCGUAUGCCAGUCUAAAAAAUCAAUAGUUUUAAUGGUACCAGGUAAACUAACAUGUUAUGACGGAUGGCACAAGGAAUUUUCUGGAUAUCUUAUGUCGCAGUCAAGUACCAAUGGUCGUACUCCAUCAGAAUACAUCUGUGUUGACGAGAAGUUGGAAUCUGUGCCCGGUGGAGAUUCAAGUCGCAAUGAGGCUGUCGUGUAUCCAGUGGAAUCUGUUUGUGGAAGUUUGAAAUGUCCACCGUACGUUAAUGGAAGAGAGCUUACUUGUGUUGUAUGUUCCAAGUGAAAUACAAAGUAUAAUCUGAAAUAAAAUAUGUAAACACAA
Molecule: long non-coding RNA, 804 nt
Organism: Mytilus californianus (California mussel)
Lineage: Eukaryota; Metazoa; Mollusca; Bivalvia; Mytilida; Mytilidae
Exons: 3
Source: RefSeq, a predicted model, not a curated record